RNAcentral lists this ribosomal RNA (466 nucleotides) under uncultured bacterium. Its description in RNAcentral is "partial 16S ribosomal RNA". It matches the Rfam family "Bacterial small subunit ribosomal RNA", at positions 28 to 507 of the family's 1533-position model. The record is from RNAcentral.
GACGAACGCUGGCGGCGCGCCUAACACAUGCAAGUCGAACGAGCGAGAGAGAGCUUGCUUUCUUGAGCGAGUGGCGAACGGGUGAGUAACGCGUGAGGAACCUGCCUCAAAGAGGGGGACAACAGUUGGAAACGACUGCUAAUACCGCAUAAGCCCACGACCCGGCAUCGGGUUGAGGGAAAAGGAGCAAUCCGCGUUGAGAUGGCCUCGCGUCCGAUUAGCUAGUUGGUGAGGUAACGGCCCACCAAGGCGACGAUCGGUAGCCGGACUGAGAGGUUGAACGGCCACAUUGGGACUGAGACACGGCCCAGACUCCGACGGGAGGCAGCAGUGGGGAAUAUUGCACAAUGGGGGAAACCCUGAUGCAGCGACGCCGCGUGGAGGAAGAAGGUCUUCGGAUUGUAAACUCCUGUUGUGGAGGAAGAUAAUGACGGUACUCAACAAGGAAGUGACGGCUAACUACGUG